UUGAUGACUCGUUCAUUAGUGUUUCGAAAGUCCCAGCAAGCCACAACGUCCAUUGUCCGUCUCAUCAGUAAUCAAACAGACUUCUUACGUCAUAGUUACAGACUUCCCAGCUACAAGUUACAACUUAGCACGGUGUCCUUACACGUGGAAUUGAAACCAUGGUUGAAACAAAAGAGUUAGAAACCAUCCUGUUAGAAACAUGUCAGGAUUCCAAAGUUCCAUAGUUACAAGAAAUAACAUAUAGAUUAUUGGAUUGUUUCUAAUGUGUUGGAUUUCAAAUAUCUGCUGAAGACAUAGUGCUACAAAGAAUUAUUUUUCUGUCAGCCAAUGUUCCCCAGCAUUGGUGCCAUUUCAAAUAGGAAAACCUACAACAAGAAGUCCAGUGUACAGUAACUGUUAAAGCUGCCUCCACCUCCAAUGGAAAACAGGAACUUCCUUAAGUGAUCAAUUUCAAGCAUCAUUCAAAAAUUUGCGAGUUCCAGUUUAUAUGUGAAUACAACACUGGUGGUUGCAGUUCCAUAUCAGGAGACGAGUUGAAUUCUGCACUGAAAACUGAGGAAUCAUCAACCAAUCGAAAGAACAAUCUGUGUCAUUACCUUCAUCUAGAUUCUAGAUGUUUCAGAGCCGAACUGGAUGCGCAAGAUCUUAUUAAACCGGAGUAGCAACUGACAAUAUGGUGGUGACGUCCGCCGAAAGAGGUUGGGGAAAAUGAAUAGUUAAUAACUCUCGUCCAGUGAUCCACCGGCUACUCACAUCUAGCGAUAACGAAAUUUCUGCUUCACUCAGGUCAGUUUUGAGACGAUCCUGCUCGCUGUAGGUCCCAACAGAAUUUGGAUACAAUCAUGGCUAUUUCUUUGCCCGGAAACUUGAAAAGUAUAAAACCAUACCUGGAAAUUGCCGAUGAUUACGAAUCCAAUGAUCCGUGUAUCAGUUACUGGUGCCGAUUAUAUGCUCUUAAGCAAGGAUUUAUCCUGGAGAGAGUAGAAGAGGAUCUUUCGUUUUUGCUUGUUUUAAUCGAUCUUUUGGAAAAGAACAAACAGGAUUUGCAGUCUAAAAUAGAGACCACUGAUAUUCCUGUUGCUCGAGCUCACCUUGAAGAUGCGACCCAGAAGCUGUUAAGCUGGGCAGAAAAUGUGCCGCCUUUGAGAUCAUUAACUAAUGUUGUAGCUGAGGUAUUUCAGUCUGCUGGAAUGCUGCAAGAUGUGUGCUCCGUAUUUGGAAAUCCAAGUGAAGGCCAAUUCGAGAGAAAGAAGUAUACCAACUUACAUGAAGAAAAUUGGCAUAGUGAACUCCAUUCGGCAUCGACUACAAAAAAAUCAAACAUUUACCACCAAUAUAGCAAGAAAUUAUCGGAAAACUUAGUUGAUGGAAUUUCCGAAGAACUUCAGAAUGAUGAGGCAAAGUCACCCAAAGUUGCGAAACAUUACGAACGGAAAAAGAUUUACGGACGCCUUUUCAUUUUACAACUGCUGAAUCAUCCAGUAUCACAGAAAAAGCCGGAAGGCCUGCCCAGUCUGGAAAUUGUUCGAAAUAAGAUGGGACGCAAUCAAAUAAUCGCCGAUAGACUAUUGGGUGUUCAUCAGCAGCAGUAUCAACUAAGAACCAACUUUAAUCCCAAGAAGAUCUGCCUGAUCUACAAGAUAGUUCGCAAAGAUCGUGAAGAGCAAAAGAUGGAGUUAAACAACCCACUAUCCCAGGAACCCUCUAGUCCCUUGGGUGGUCGUUCUCGUGGCGGUUCCAGUGACUAUCGCUGGAAUUCCGAUCAGAAUAGCAGUAGUAGAGGCGGCAGCAAAGAACGUUGGAUACCUAAGGCGUCUAGAGAUGCUGAUCAAAUAGGAGGUAAAGGCGUCACUUCUUGGCGUCGAGUAGCCUCAAGUGAUACGGCUCAAUCGUUGAUCGGUGGCGUUGGUGGUUGUAAACAAAAAAUGAACUCCGGUUUCUUUGGUUUACGUAGUCAACCGCCUUCUUGUGAAAACUCCGUUACUCGUCCCGUCUUUCGCGAAACGGCUCGACCAUCAACGCUAUCACGCGAAGAUGUUUUUUUUGGUAAAUCUACCGUGACAGACGAACAGAUUGAGCGAAAAUCUCGUUCGAUUCUAGGUGAAUAUUUCACGAAUGAGAAAAUUGAAGAUGCUGUUUUCAACAUGAAGGAAUGGCUGCAUCCAUCGACCAUAGCCAGAUUUAUCAACCAAUGCUUGCUGCACGUACUAAAACAUAAUAAACAAGAACGAAGAGCGACAGGCGCUUUGUUGAAGGAAAUGGUUAAAAGAAAACUGUUUAAUUCCUCUGACCUUGUGGAAGGAUUUACUGAACUCUUCCAAUCGGCUGAAGACUUCAUUGUGGACAUUCCCAAGUUGUGGGAAUAUUUGGCUGAGCUGGUUGAACCUCUGUUCGAAGAAGGCGUGAUGAAUUUGAAGUUUCUUUCGAAGUUAUCAUUGACCCUGAGUUCAUCUUUGGUUGUCAAUUUUGUAGCUGCAGUUCUGAAGGAAUUAGUCAGAGUACAGGGUGUGACUGGAGCUGAAAGAAUACUUAUCAUGUCGAAUGCACCAUUAACCAGUGUUCUACCAUCUUCUGUGGAUCUGAAUUCGUUCCUCGCCCAACAUACGGAACUCGAAUUCCUUUCCAAAAUUCAUUCUACACCAAGGGGCAGUGGCAGUGUUGGCAAUUCCAUCAGUAGUGCAACUCCCGCCAGUCAAGUUAACAUCGAAUUCCAGCACAGCCUAGAGAAAUACUUGAGAGACGCGACCCAAUUGACUACAGACAACAUCUGUAGCUGGAUUCAGAAACAAUAUGUUGGUGAAGUGAAUUCCGCUUUCGUUCGUGCCUUGGUCACCGCGGUAACGGAGAAUGCUAUUGAAGGAAGUGGUAAGGACAGUAAACUGAACAACACUGUCUUGAAAAAUCGGACGAAGGUGUUAAGGAGGUAUGUUGACAAUAUCGCUGAUCGUGAGCUUCAACUGCUUUUCGCAGUUCAGGCUUUAGUGACCCAACGACAACAUCCCAAAGGUUUAAUUCAAGGCAUCUUCGAGACUCUCUAUGACAGUAACGUCGUUUCUGAAGAGAGCUUUGAAUCGUGGGCGUGUACUGAUGAUCCUUUGGAACGUGAAGACAAAGCUGUGGCUCUCCAGAUGAUGAAAUCUUUUUUUACGUGGCUGAAGGAAGCUGACCCUGAAAGCGAUGAAGAUGAAUAUGCCUGACCUUAUUAAAAGCAUAUGGAGGAGCAAUUGUUUGAGUGCAUCAUGUGAGUGAAAAGGGGGGUUAGGCCAGACCCUGGAAACGUGUAACUGGGAAAGGGGACCUAGUGUUGGUAGAUUCCCCCCCCCCCUUAAAGAAUGGAUUUUUUUUGUAUGUGUGUAAGAAAAAUUGCAUGAUUUACGUACGCUGGAUAAGAAACAGAAACCAGUAAUUUCAUUGAUGUACUUUCGCUAAUUGAAAUGGACAAGUAAUUCCUUUGGAACGUUCCACUCCUUCUCUCUGGUUUUCUCCCACGUGAAAGACGCUCAGUUUACAAAUUCUGUGAACGUGGGGGUUUUGUUAUUAAAUAUAAAGAUUAGCGAAUUGAAAGUUUUCAAUCCAGCAGUGACCAACUUGUAUAAAGACAGUUCCAGUGUUCCAGCGUCAACGCACGAUAAAACGGAAGGCCCACCGCUCGACAUUGGGUUCAAGAAAACCUCACCAUAAUCCGGCUGUGGAAUUUCCUCAAAUCAAACAUCGCGUGCAUCUCUGAUUGUUUCACAGCGCUCUCUUGCUAUACUGCUGUCCGGGUGGAUAGGUUCUCCAGGAAAAAUGUGGAGCUGGAUUGCUACUCACGUGAAGGAUGAUGUGUGCUGUAGCUGGACGAUUUCUUCAAACAGACAGGUUCAUUUUACAGUCGAUCCUCAUCAACAUCUUCGGCUUCCUCAUCACUUCCAUGGACGAUAUUUUAACAGCUGUAGCCAACCGGGCAAUCAUACUCUGUCUAAAGUAAAACUGUAUUUGAGAGUCCAGUCGAGCCUCUUGGAGAAUUGAUUGAAACGGAAGGUCUCAAGGCCAAUCAAAUGAGAUUGCGUUAAUCGACCUAACUGCAACCAAGAAGCUUGAUUCGAUCGGGUUAACAUGUCAACAUAUCGCUUUAAUCUUUUUGAAUCGGAGGAUCGGAUCGAUCGGUGACUAAUCUAAUAAGUAUGAUUAGACUAACUGUAUAUUAUGUAUAUAGAUGUAUUGUAUAUUAUAAUGUGAUCUAAUGACUACUACUUUAAUUAGUAGAAGCAUCCGCUAAUUUUUUUUCCUGUGUUGUAGUUCGUGCUGGCGAGUGAGGAGCAAAUUUUAAAUUUACAAGUAAAACGGAAUCGCAUAGUAUUUAAGGGAAAACAGUUGUUGUUGUUCUUUUUCUUUUGUAUGAUUUGGUUUUUGGUUUGAGUUUUCGAGUAACAAGUAACAACCCGAUCAAUAACCAACGCUUCUACGCAGAAGACUCUUUCUCCGACGUCGACGAUAGAUUUAAAGGAAGACCGGAUUCGAUGGAUUAUGCCUACAACAACGGAAUGGCAGAUCCCAUGCAACAACAACUACAGGGCAUGAACGUACAACAACAACAACCGAAUUUCAACGGUGGAACGGGUGGACCCAUCCACAAUUUGCCCAUGAACAAGACGACGAGAGGCUUGCCGCCCGUCAUCCAACAGCAACAGCAGCAACAUCCCGGUCAACCUCCCCUCAACAACAUGAUGAUGAUGAACGCCGAUGCCAACAACCACCUUUACGGUCACGCCAACAACGUUGCCGCGCCCCAACAAGCGACGACAGCGCCAACUUCCGCACCCCUGUCUUCUCACUUUUCCUUUUUCGGGAUAAGCGGCAACAACCAGCAGCAACAACAGCAGCAGCAACAACAAUCAACAGGGCCCAGUAUCAUCCAGAAGAUGAUGGGCGGCGGUGGAGGCUCUGCCACCGCGGCCGCUCCGACGACGACGACGUCCGGCACGACGGAAAAUCCAGUCGAGGGCCUUUUAUUCAAAGGAAAAGAUUUGAUAUUCAAGAAAUUCGGCCUCUAAUGAAAACAUUUAGUAACAAUAACCUUUUUGCACAACAACAACAACCAACUCUGCCAUAAUAAUCGAUUCGAGCUGAAAUAAUCCCCUUCAAAAAUGAAACCAAAAAUGGAUAGCGCGAAAAACAAUUGAAUUUUGACGAGCCAAAUGGAUGAGGUCAAACACUUUUUUUUAAAUUGCAAAGUUUCCCCAAAAGUUUUGUGGAUGUAAGAUAUAAAAAUACGCACACACACCUCCUGUCUGUCUUGAAUCUUUCUCUUUAACUUUCUCGUGUACAGUUCUAGCAAAAAAAAAGGUUUUUUUGGGGGGGUUCCAAGUAAUUAAAAUUUGUUCAUUCAAAUUGAGGAAGAAAUUUAUGGAUAAAUUAAAUUUUGUUUUAAUUUUGUCCACCCAACAUUUUUUUGUGUGUCUGUGUGAGCCCUGUACAUACAUAAACUUCAACUAUAGACCUUAUUCCAAUGAAAAGGUAUGGGUCAAGCCGACCCCUUUGCGUCGCGUUGCAGUGUGAAGGGGUGCCGUGAACAGAAGAUUUUUAUUUGGCUCGCCCCACAGUACAUGGAUAUUAGGCUUGUCGGGUUAAUCGUGCCCGAGGGAAGAAUAGGGAGGAAAGGAAAGUCUAGUCUGGUCCCCUCUUUUUUUCAUUCUUUCCUUUUUAUUUUAUACCUUUUCAUUGGAAUAAGGUCUAUAUAGGAAUUGUCGCCUGGCGGGAAAUUUAAAAAUUUUUCAAUUAAUUUUGUUUUUUCAAAUUUUUUGGGGGAUUUUUCUUUGGCCGGCAGUAAUUUGCUUUUCCCCAUUAAAAAUUUUAAAUUCGUGUUAAAUUCAACAUCAAGCCUCCCCUUUAAAGAAAAAAGAACGGUCAUUCUCGACCGCCAUCUCUCUCUCUCUCUUUAUUAUUGCAUUAUUAUUACAAUAUUCGUUAUGGUUAUAAUCUAUAUCUUUACAUAUAAUUCUCCAUAUUAUGUGUAACUGUACAAAAGGCAUACAAAAAGGAAACAAAAAAACAAACAAAAUGGCAAAGCAAA
RNA transcript from Daphnia pulicaria, 6052 nucleotides. It is a transcript of the gene named eukaryotic translation initiation factor 4 gamma 3-like, with no coding region annotated. The transcript is spliced from 24 exons. Lineage: Eukaryota; Metazoa; Arthropoda; Branchiopoda; Diplostraca; Daphniidae. The record is from RefSeq and is a predicted model, not a curated record.